RNAcentral lists this ribosomal RNA (253 nucleotides) under uncultured bacterium. RNAcentral's name for it is "partial 16S ribosomal RNA". It matches the Rfam family "Bacterial small subunit ribosomal RNA", at positions 524 to 776 of the family's 1533-position model. The record is from RNAcentral.
UACGGGGGGGGCAAGCGUUGUUCGGAAUUACUGGGCGUAAAGGGCUCGUAGGCGGCCAACUAAGUCGGAUGUGAAAUCCCCAGGCUUAACCUGGGAACUGCAUCCGAUACUGGAUGGCUUGAAUCCGGGAGAGGGAUGCAGAAUUCCAGGUGUAGCGGCGAAAUGCGUAGAUAUCUGGAGGAAUACCGGUGGCGAAGGCGGCAUCCUGGACCGGCAUUGACGCUGAUGAGCGAAAGCUAGGGGAGCAAACGGG